Triticum aestivum (bread wheat) is the source of this 133-nucleotide non-coding RNA. NCBI's taxonomy places the organism in Eukaryota, Viridiplantae, Streptophyta, Magnoliopsida, Poales, Poaceae. The record is from Rfam.
CAACUACUCCCUCUGUCCCAAAUUUCUUGUCUUAGAUUUGUGUAGAUAGAUGUAUCUAAUACUAAAAUGUGACUUGAUACAUCCGUAUCUACAUAAAUCUAAGACAAGAAUUUUGGGACGGAGGGAGUACUUU